This 495-nucleotide ribosomal RNA is filed under the name Triticum aestivum (bread wheat). RNAcentral's name for it is "partial small subunit ribosomal RNA". The record is from RNAcentral. Lineage: Eukaryota; Viridiplantae; Streptophyta; Magnoliopsida; Poales; Poaceae.
UUUCUCCCUUUCAUCUCACUUGUGUCUCGUUCGACGCCGAAGAUGAACCCUUGUGCGAUUGCGACACUCGUUGACCGAUGGCGCCCUGAGACACAUACUUUCCACUUCUUUGCUGGGGAGAUGACAGUCACUUUGCAGGAUGUUUCUCUGAUCACUGGACUUCUCAUCAAAGGAGAGCCUAUUUGUUUUAGCACAUAUUCUGAUGGAUGGCGUGAGAUUAUGGUUGGACUCAUAGGGAGGGAGCCAGGGGUGCAAGGGAAGUCCGCCUUUGCAAGUUAUCAUUGGAUUGCUCAAAACUUUUGCGAGUUACCGGAUGAUGCUGAUGAUGAAACGGUGCAACAGUAUUGCAGGGCAUACUUGUGGUAUGUAGUUAGCCGGACUCUUUUCUCAGACGGCACUGGCGUGAACGCUUCCUUUAUGAGGAUUAAGUUGUUUCCUGGGUGGGAGCAUGGACUAAGUUGGGGUACGAUGGCGCUAUCUUAUUUGUAUCGCUAG